This 450-nucleotide ribosomal RNA is filed under the name uncultured bacterium. RNAcentral's name for it is "bacterial SSU rRNA". It matches the Rfam family "Bacterial small subunit ribosomal RNA", at positions 335 to 799 of the family's 1533-position model. The record is from RNAcentral.
ACUCCUACGGGAGGCAGCAGUGGGGAAUCUUGGACAAUGGGCGCAAGCCUGAUCCAGCCAUGCCGCGUGAGUGAUGAAGGCCUUAGGGUCGUAAAGCUCUUUCGCCAGGGAUGAUAAUGACAGUACCUGGUAAAGAAACCCCGGCUAACUCCGUGCCAGCAGCCGCGGUAAUACGGAGGGGUUAGCGUUGUUCGGAAUUACUGGGGCGUAAAGCGCGCGUAGGCGGGGUUGUUAAGUUAGAGGUGAAAUCCCGGGGGCUCAACCCCGGAACUGCCUUUAAUACUGGCAACCUAGAGUUCGAGAGAGGUGAGUGGAAUUCCGAGUGUAGAGGUGAAAUUCGUAGAUAUUCGGAGGAACACCAGUGGCGAAGGCGGCUCACUGGCUCGAUACUGACGCUGAGGUGCGAAAGUGUGGGGAGCAAACAGGAUUAGAUACCCUGGUAGGAUAGCG